RNAcentral lists this transfer RNA (128 nucleotides) under Naumovozyma dairenensis CBS 421. RNAcentral's name for it is "tRNA-Leu". The record is from RNAcentral. Lineage: Eukaryota; Fungi; Ascomycota; Saccharomycetes; Saccharomycetales; Saccharomycetaceae.
GAAAAUUACAAUUCUUGACCAGAGAAAACUCUGGGAACACUCAGGUAUCGUAAGAUGCAAGAGUUCGAAUCUCUUAGCAACCAACUCAGGUAUCGUAAGAUGCAAGAGUUCGAAUCUCUUAGCAACCA